AAGGACAACCAUAAAAAAAGUCAAAGCAAUUCUCCAAACAAAGCCAUUUCUGAUUCACUUGCAUGCCCAGUGAGGAAGUUCAGGGAAGGUUUUGGCCUAGCUGCCAUCUUUUUGAGGAAGUGGCACGCUGCAAGUUCUGAGUCUAUUAUGUUAUGUCCUGGGCAGGAGGCUGCAGAAGGCCCGGGCAGACCAUGUGAUUGCCUGGGUCUAGACAGGCUGUCUCCAGCCUUGUGAGCAUGUGCAAGGUGGGAGACUAGCCCUGCAUUGAUUGGCUGAUGCUGUCCCUGCAAGGGAAGUAUAAAAGAGCCAGCGCCAUUUUGUUUGCUGUUCUGCUCUGUUAGUGAGCUCAACAAAGAAGUUGUGUUUUGUUACUCCUGCCUCGCUUCGAUGUCUCUGAUUCUAAACCAGAACAUAUUAACUGUUGGAAAUUCCUUAAAAUAUGGAUUUGGCAACAGACAUGGUGAUCCUACAGAAAUAGGAACUGGAAAUGACUAUAUUAUAGGAAUUGAAAGCCAACGCAGGUGUGGAAGCAUUAUACAUCAUUGGUAAAAAAACUGAGCUUCAAACAGGAGUUCAUCUCCCUGAAAUAUCACCAGCGGACAUUUCAAACAGGACAUUCAUGGGAUUACAAAGUGAAGAGAAUGGCUCAAGGGUAGAAAAAAACAUCCAGGAUGAAAACAGAGAAAGGCAGAAGAGC
Long non-coding RNA from Crotalus tigris (Tiger rattlesnake), 697 nucleotides. RefSeq lists it as uncharacterized. The record is from RefSeq and is a predicted model, not a curated record. The transcript has 3 exons. Lineage: Eukaryota; Metazoa; Chordata; Lepidosauria; Squamata; Viperidae.